AGGGUUUACCAGGAGAAGAUGGGGGACCGGGUCAUAAGGGUGAACCUGGACUACAAGGCCAACAGGGCACCCCAGGCCAGCAAGGCAUACCAGGACUUCCAGGAGUACAAGGUUUACCAGGCCUCCAAGGCAGUCCAGGAAUCGUGGGAGCACAUGGUUCUCCAGGGAACCCAGGA
Eublepharis macularius is the source of this 176-nucleotide long non-coding RNA. RefSeq lists it as uncharacterized. The transcript has 3 exons. The record is from RefSeq and is a predicted model, not a curated record. NCBI's taxonomy places the organism in Eukaryota, Metazoa, Chordata, Lepidosauria, Squamata, Eublepharidae.